RNAcentral lists this ribosomal RNA (39 nucleotides) under Solanum lycopersicum (tomato). RNAcentral describes it as "partial 18S ribosomal RNA". The record is from RNAcentral. Lineage: Eukaryota; Viridiplantae; Streptophyta; Magnoliopsida; Solanales; Solanaceae.
UUCUUUGUUUUCGUAUAGGGGUACUGCGGAACGAUCAUU